RNAcentral lists this ribosomal RNA (309 nucleotides) under uncultured eukaryote. RNAcentral describes it as "partial 18S ribosomal RNA". It matches the Rfam family "Eukaryotic small subunit ribosomal RNA", at positions 1470 to 1796 of the family's 1831-position model. The record is from RNAcentral.
CCCUUAGAUGUUCUGGGCGGCCCGCGCACUACAAUGGCGCUUUCAGCGAGUUCCUAUGUUGAAUUUUCCUGGGUAUUCUUGGAAGCGGCGUCUUGACUUGGGAUAGAUCCUUGUAAUUGUUGGUUUUGAACGAGGAAUUCCUUGUAAUCGCGGUUGAUCAGCUCGCGUUGAAUACGUCCCUGCCCUUUGUACACACCGCCCGUCGCUCCUACCGAUGAAUCGUCCGGUAAGUUCACAGAGUGGCGGUUCGUGGAGUUGCUCGCGAAGUGAAAUGGACCUCACGAUUUAGAGGAAGGAGAAGUCGUAACA